Brachypodium distachyon (stiff brome) is the source of this 134-nucleotide non-coding RNA. Lineage: Eukaryota; Viridiplantae; Streptophyta; Magnoliopsida; Poales; Poaceae. The record is from Rfam.
UUACUACUCCCUCCGUCCAACAAAGGAUGUCUCCUUUGACCAAAUUUGAAUGUAUCGAUACGCUAAGUCAUGUCUAGAUACAUCCAAAUUUUGACAAACUUGAGACAUCUUUUGUUGGACGGAGGGAGUAUAAG